RNAcentral lists this ribosomal RNA (497 nucleotides) under uncultured bacterium. RNAcentral describes it as "partial 16S ribosomal RNA". It matches the Rfam family "Bacterial small subunit ribosomal RNA", at positions 28 to 507 of the family's 1533-position model. The record is from RNAcentral.
GAUGAACGCUGGCGGCGUGCCUAAUACAUGCAAGUAGAACGCUGAAGCUUGGUGCUUGCACCGAGCGGAUGAGUUGCGAACGGGUGAGUAACGCGUAGGUAACCUGCCUCUUAGCGGGGGAUAACUAUUGGAAACGAUAGCUAAUACCGCAUAAAAGUCGACAUCGCAUGAUGUUGACUUGAAAGGUGCAAUUGCAUCACUAAGAGAUGGACCUGCGUUGUAUUAGCUAGUUGGUGAGGUAACGGCUCACCAAGGCGACGAUACAUAGCCGACCUGAGAGGGUGAUCGGCCACACUGGGACUGAGACACGGCCCAGACUCCUACGGGAGGCAGCAGUAGGGAAUCUUCGGCAAUGGGGGCAACCCUGACCGAGCAACGCCGCGUGAGUGAAGAAGGUUUUCGGAUCGUAAAGCUCUGUUGUAAGAGAAGAACGAGGGUGAGAGUGGAAAGUUCACACUGUGACGGUAACUUACCAGAAAGGGACGGCUAACUACGUG